UGGCGGAAUGCUUUACACAUGCAAGUCGAGCGGCAGCGCGGGGGCAACCCUGGCGGCGAGCGGCGAACGGGUGAGUAAUACAUCGGAACGUGUCCUGGAGUGGGGGAUAGCUCGGCGAAAGCCGGAUUAAUACCGCAUAAGCUCUGAGGAGGAAAGCGGGGGAUUCGCAAGGACCUCGCGCUGUUGGAGCGGCCGAUGUCGGAUUAGCUAGUUGGUGGGGUAAAGGCCCACCAAGGCGACGAUCCGUAGCUGGUCUGAGAGGAUGAUCAGCCACACUGGAACUGAGACACGGUCCAGACUCCUACGGGAGGCAGCAGUGGGGAAUUUUGGACAAUGGGGGCAACCCUGAUCCAGCCAUUCCGCGAGAGUGAAGAAGGCCUUCGGGUUGUAAAGCUCUUUCGGACGGAACGAAAUGGUUACGGCUAACACCUGUGACUGAUGACGGUACCGUAAGAAGAAGCACCGGCUAACUACGUGCCAGCAGCCGCGGUAAUACGUAGGGUGCGAGCGUUAAUCGGAAUUACUGGGCGUAAAGCGUGCGCAGGCGGCGGCUCAAGUCAGGUGUGAAAUCCCCGGGCUUAACCUGGGAAUUGCGCUUGAAACUAGGUCGCUAGAGUGUGGCAGAGGGGGGUGGAAUUCCACGUGUAGCAGUGAAAUGCGUAGAGAUGUGGAGGAACACCGAUGGCGAAGGCAGCCCCCUGGGUCAACACUGACGCUCAUGCACGAAAGCG
Molecule: ribosomal RNA, 731 nt
Filed under: uncultured soil bacterium
Lineage: Bacteria
Description: bacterial SSU rRNA
Rfam family: Bacterial small subunit ribosomal RNA
Source: RNAcentral